RNAcentral lists this ribosomal RNA (878 nucleotides) under Neonectria neomacrospora. Its description in RNAcentral is "eukaryotic LSU rRNA". It matches the Rfam family "Eukaryotic large subunit ribosomal RNA", at positions 52 to 962 of the family's 3401-position model. The record is from RNAcentral. Lineage: Eukaryota; Fungi; Ascomycota; Sordariomycetes; Hypocreales; Nectriaceae.
GGAGGAAAAGAAACCAACAGGGAUUGCCCUAGUAACGGCGAGUGAAGCGGCAACAGCUCAAAUUUGAAAUCUGGCCCCCGGGUCCGAGUUGUAAUUUGUAGAGGAUGCUUUUGGUGCGGUACCUUCCGAGUUCCCUGGAACGGGACGCCAUAGAGGGUGAGAGCCCCGUCUGGUUGGACGCCAAUCCUUUGUAAAGCUCCUUCAACGAGUCGAGUAGUUUGGGAAUGCUGCUCUAAAUGGGAGGUAUAUGUCUUCUAAAGCUAAAUAUUGGCCAGAGACCGAUAGCGCACAAGUAGAGUGAUCGAAAGAUGAAAAGCACUUUGAAAAGAGAGUUAAAAAGUACGUGAAAUUGUUGAAAGGGAAGCGCUCAUGACCAGACUUGGGCUCGGUUGAUCAUCCAGGGUUCUCCCUGGUGCACUCUCCCGGCCCAGGCCAGCAUCAGUUCGCCGCGGGGGACAAAGGCGUCGGGAAUGUGGCUCCCUCGGGAGUGUUAUAGCCCGUCGUGCAAUACCCUGUGGUGGACUGAGGUUCGCGCAUUCGCAAGGAUGCUGGCGUAAUGGUCAUCAGCGACCCGUCUUGAAACACGGACCAAGGAGUCGUCUUCGUAUGCGAGUGUUCGGGUGUCAAACCCCUACGCGUAAUGAAAGUGAACGCAGGUGAGAGCUUCGGCGCAUCAUCGACCGAUCCUGAUGUUCUCGGAUGGAUUUGAGUAAGAGCAUACGGGGCCGGACCCGAAAGAAGGUGAACUAUGCCUGUAUAGGGUGAAGCCAGAGGAAACUCUGGUGGAGGCUCGCAGCGGUUCUGACGUGCAAAUCGAUCGUCAAAUAUGGGCAUGGGGGCGAAAGACUAAUCGAACCUUCUAGUAGCUGGUUUCCGCC